Molecule: ribosomal RNA, 460 nt
Filed under: uncultured bacterium
Lineage: Bacteria
Description: partial 16S ribosomal RNA
Rfam family: Bacterial small subunit ribosomal RNA
Source: RNAcentral
CCUACGGGUGGCAGCAGUGAGGAAUAUUGGUCAAUGGGCGGGAGCCUGAACCAGCCAAGUCGCGUGAGGGAAGACGGUCCUAUGGAUUGUAAACCUCUUUAGGCGGGGAGCAAUGCCGGGCACGCGUGCCCGGAGGGAGAGUACCCGCAGAAUAAGCAUCGGCUAACUCCGUGCCAGCAGCCGCGGUAAUACGGAGGAUGCGAGCGUUAUCCGGAUUUAUUGGGUUUAAAGGGUGCGUAGGCGGAAUGCCAAGUCAGCGGUAAAAUCGCGGGGCUCAACCUCGCUCCGCCGUUGAAACUGGCGUUCUUGAGUGGGCGAGAAGUAUGCGGAAUGCGUGGUGUAGCGGUGAAAUGCAUAGAUAUCACGCAGAACUCCGAUUGCGAAGGCAGCAUACCGGCGCCCAACUGACGCUGAAGCACGAAAGCGUGGGUAUCGAACAGGAUUAGAUACCCUUGUAGUC